Molecule: transfer RNA, 134 nt
Rfam family: tRNA
About the family: Transfer RNA (tRNA) molecules are approximately 80 nucleotides in length. Their secondary structure includes four short double-helical elements and three loops (D, anti-codon, and T loops).
Source: Rfam
GGCAAGAUGGCCGAGCGGUCUAAGGCGCCAGACUCAAGUUUAAGCGGUACAGUUCGUACUCAAUAACUUCCGCACCAUAAAUGUGGAGCAUUCUGGUCUCGAAAGAGGCGUGGGUUCAAAUCCCACUCUUGUCA